ACAAACUUGGUCAUUUAGAGGAAGUAAAAGUCGUAACAAGGUUUCCGUAGGUGAACCUGCGGAAGGAUCAUUACUGAAUGAAAAUGUGGGUUGCUGCUGGCUUUUAAGAGGCAUUGUGCACGCCCACUCCACUCGUUCUAAAUCCUCCUGUGCACUCUGUGUAGACCCUUGAAUGAACAGCUGAAGAAAUAUCUCUUUGGCCAAUAGGGUGACUGCUGUGUUUGAAAGAAGACAGCUGUUUAGCCAGUGUUUUAAUGUUCUCAUGGGUUCUAUGCUUUUAAUAAUAACGCUCCAUAAGCAUGUGUCUGAAUGUGAUUUAUAGAUAUUUCAAUAUCUUUAAAUAAAAUAAUACAACUUUCAACAACGGAUCUCUUGGCUCUCGCAUCGAUGAAGAACGCAGC
Molecule: unclassified non-coding RNA, 401 nt
Filed under: uncultured fungus
Lineage: Eukaryota; Fungi
Description: partial contains small subunit ribosomal RNA, internal transcribed spacer 1, and 5.8S ribosomal RNA
Rfam family: Eukaryotic small subunit ribosomal RNA (bases 1-73)
Source: RNAcentral